This 506-nucleotide ribosomal RNA is filed under the name uncultured bacterium. RNAcentral's name for it is "partial 16S ribosomal RNA". It matches the Rfam family "Bacterial small subunit ribosomal RNA", at positions 29 to 523 of the family's 1533-position model. The record is from RNAcentral.
AGUGAACGCUGGCGGUAGGCCUAACACAUGCAAGUCGAACGGCAGCACAGAGGAGCUUGCUCCUUGGGUGGCGAGUGGCGGACGGGUGAGGAAUACAUCGGAAUCUACUCUGUCGUGGGGGAUAACGUAGGGAAACUUACGCUAAUACCGCAUACGACCUACGGGUGAAAGCAGGGGACAUUCGGGCCUUGCGCGAUUGAAUGAGCCGAUGUCGGAUUAGCUAGUUGGCGGGGUAAAGGCCCACCAAGGCGACGAUCCGUAGCUGGUCUGAGAGGCUGAUCAGCCACUCUGGAACUGAGACGCGGUCAAGACUCCUACGGGAGGCAGCAGUGGGGAAUUUUGGACAAUGGGCGCAAGCCUGAGCCAGCCAUACCGCGUGGGUGAAGAAGGCCUUCGGGUUGUAAAGCCCUUUUGUUGGUAAAGAAAUCCAGCUGGCUAAUACCCGGUUGGGAUGACGGUACCCAAAGAAUAAGCACCGGCUAACUUCGUGCCAGCCGCCGCGGUAA